Molecule: long non-coding RNA, 638 nt
Organism: Gossypium raimondii (Peruvian cotton)
Lineage: Eukaryota; Viridiplantae; Streptophyta; Magnoliopsida; Malvales; Malvaceae
Exons: 3
Source: RefSeq, a predicted model, not a curated record
UCCAUUGUUUUGCUUCUUCAUCUCGUUGCUUAUUUCUCCAUUUUCUCUAAAAAAUUCCACUACCCACAUUGAGUUAAUGUUGAAAUCCUCAUGAAAUCAAACCCCCUAAGCUCGUUUCCUUCACCAAUUGUAGCAAUGGAAGCUUAGGGUUUUAUUGGUUUUAGUGGGAUAAUCCAUGGCUUGAGCGAGAAAGCUCUAAUAAGAUGAUGAUUUAUGGAAAUUAUAAGCUUGAAUGAUGAUGGAGUAGAGCUCAUGGAAGCUUGAUUAAGUGUUUUAGAUCAUCCAUUAAGAUGUGAUUCAAGAUAUGCCGGCAUGGCCUGACUGCCACUUGUUCGAGGGCGAGGAGAACUGUAGAUACUUCGAUUGAAGACGGAGAUGCACUGCAUGGUUGAGUUGGAGUGCAAGAGUAUGAUAUUUGGACUCCAGGUGUGUCACGGCUGCUCUCCAUCGCUGCAGAAAAGAACAACAGAAGUAAGAUUUGUUGUGUUAUUAGUUUUUGACUAAAAAUAGAGUAGUAACCAAAUCGGUGUGUCAGAAGUUAGAUUGGACAUUGGAGUACCAUAAAGCUAGAUGGAACAAUUAAAACUACCAAUACUACAUUGAGAGUUUUGUUGAAGUACAGGGAGAUCUUUUUGCUA